GGGGUACACGAGCGGCGAACGGGUGAGUAACACGUGGGUGAUCUGCCCUGCACUCUGGGAUAAGCUUGGGAAACUGGGUCUAAUACCGGAUAUGACCGCAUGCCGCAUGGUGUGUGGUGGAAAGAUUUAUCGGUGCAGGAUGGGCCCGCGGCCUAUCAGCUUGUUGGUGGGGUAAUGGCCUACCAAGGCGACGACGGGUAGCCGACCUGAGAGGGUGACCGGCCACACUGGGACUGAGACACGGCCCAGACUCCUACGGGAGGCAGCAGUGGGGAAUAUUGCACAAUGGGCGGAAGCCUGAUGCAGCGACGCCGCGUGAGGGAUGAAGGCCUUCGGGUUGUAAACCUCUUUCAGCAGGGACGAAGCGUGAGUGACGGUACCUGCAGAAGAAGCACCGGCUAACUACGUGCCAGCAGCCGCGGUAAUACGUAGGGUGCGAGCGUUGUCCGGAAUUACUGGGCGUAAAGAGUUCGUAGGCGGUUUGUCGCGUCGUUUGUGAAAACCCGGGGCUCAACUUCGGGCUUGCAGGCGAUACGGGCAGACUUGAGUGUUUCAGGGGAGACUGGAAUUCCUGGUGUAGCGGUGAAAUGCGCAGAUAUCAGGAGGAACACCGGUGGCGAAGGCGGGUCUCUGGGAAACAACUGACGCUGAGGAACGAAAGCGUGGGUAGCAAACAGGAUUAGAUACCCUGGUAGUCCACGCCGUAAACGGUGGGCGCUAGGUGUGGGUUCCUUCCACGGGAUCUGUGCCGUAGCUAACGCAUUAAACGCCCCGCCUGGGG
RNAcentral lists this ribosomal RNA (781 nucleotides) under Rhodococcus cerastii. Its description in RNAcentral is "bacterial SSU rRNA". It matches the Rfam family "Bacterial small subunit ribosomal RNA", at positions 84 to 878 of the family's 1533-position model. The record is from RNAcentral. Lineage: Bacteria; Bacillati; Actinomycetota; Actinomycetes; Mycobacteriales; Nocardiaceae.